GCGAGGGUUGCUGAGCUUGGCCAAAGGUGCUGGACUUAAGAUUCAGUCGCGUAGGCGUUCGUGGGUUCAAAUCCCAUCCCUCGCA
This 85-nucleotide transfer RNA is filed under the name Cuniculiplasma divulgatum. RNAcentral's name for it is "tRNA-Leu". It matches the Rfam family "tRNA". From Rfam's summary of the family: Transfer RNA (tRNA) molecules are approximately 80 nucleotides in length. Their secondary structure includes four short double-helical elements and three loops (D, anti-codon, and T loops). Further hydrogen bonds mediate the characteristic L-shaped molecular structure. tRNAs have two regions of fundamental functional importance: the anti-codon, which is responsible for specific mRNA codon recognition, and the 3' end, to which the tRNAs corresponding amino acid is attached (by aminoacyl-tRNA synthetases). tRNAs cope with the degeneracy of the genetic code in two manners: having more than one tRNA (with a specific anti-codon) for a particular amino acid; and 'wobble' base-pairing, i.e. permitting non-standard base-pairing at the 3rd anti-codon position. The record is from RNAcentral. RNAcentral also lists the same sequence under 4 other names. Lineage: Archaea; Methanobacteriati; Thermoplasmatota; Thermoplasmata; Thermoplasmatales; Cuniculiplasmataceae.